AGUAGGGAAUUUUCCACAAUGGGCGAAAGCCUGAUGGAGCAACACAGCGUGUAGGAUGAAGGCCUUCGGGUUGUAAACUACUGUUAUAUGGGAAGAAAAACUAGUAUAGGAAAUGAUAUUAGCUUGACGGUACCAUGUCAGAAAGCAACGGCUAACUAUGUGCCAGCAGCCGCGGUAAUACAUAGGUUGCAAGCGUUAUCCGGAAUUAUUGGGCGUAAAGCGUCUGUAGGUUGUUUGUUAAGUCUGGUGUUAAAACUUGGAGCUCAACUCCAAAUUGCAUUGGAUACUGGCAGACUAGAAUUGUUUAGAGGUUAGCGGAAUUCCUUGUGAAGCGGUGGAAUGCGUAGAUAUAAGGAAGAACACCAACAUGGCGAAGGCAGCUAACUGGGAACAUAUUGACACUGAGAGACGAAAGCGUGGGGAGCAAACAGGAUUAGAUACCCUGGUAGUCCACGCUGUAAACGAUGAUGACUAGUUGAURGAAACCAUCGACGCAGCUAACGCAUUAAGUCAUCCGCCUGAGUAGUAUGCUCGCAAGAGUGAAA
RNAcentral lists this ribosomal RNA (545 nucleotides) under Mycoplasmopsis synoviae. Its description in RNAcentral is "bacterial SSU rRNA". It matches the Rfam family "Bacterial small subunit ribosomal RNA", at positions 353 to 899 of the family's 1533-position model. The record is from RNAcentral. Lineage: Bacteria; Bacillati; Mycoplasmatota; Mycoplasmoidales; Metamycoplasmataceae.